RNAcentral lists this ribosomal RNA (459 nucleotides) under uncultured bacterium. RNAcentral's name for it is "bacterial SSU rRNA". It matches the Rfam family "Bacterial small subunit ribosomal RNA", at positions 28 to 504 of the family's 1533-position model. The record is from RNAcentral.
GACGAACGCUGGCGUCAUGCCUAACACAUGCAAGUCGAGCGAGUGGAGUUCUUCGGAACAAAGCUAGCGGCGGACGGGUGAGUAACACGUGGGCAACCUGCCUCAUAGAGGGGAAUAGCCUUCCGAAAGGGAGAUUAAUACCGCAUAAGAUUGUAGCUUCGCAUGAAGUAGCAAUUAAAGGAGCAAUCCGCUAUGAGAUGGGCCCGCGGCGCAUUAGCUAGUUGGUGAGGUAACGGCUCACCAAGGCGACGAUGCGUAGCCGACCUGAGAGGGUGAUCGGCCACAUUGGGACUGGGACACGGCCCAGACUCCUACGGGAGGCAGCAGUGGGGAAUAUUGCACAAUGGGGGAAACCCUGAUGCAGCAAUGCCGCGUGAGUGAUGACGGCCUUCGGGUUGUAAAGCUCUGUCUUCAGGGACGAUAAUGACGGUACCUGAGGAGGAAGCCACGGCUAACUAC